RNAcentral lists this ribosomal RNA (479 nucleotides) under Streptococcus mutans. Its description in RNAcentral is "bacterial SSU rRNA". It matches the Rfam family "Bacterial small subunit ribosomal RNA", at positions 28 to 485 of the family's 1533-position model. The record is from RNAcentral. Lineage: Bacteria; Bacillati; Bacillota; Bacilli; Lactobacillales; Streptococcaceae.
GACGAACGCUGGCGGCGUGCCUAAUACAUGCAAGUGGGACGCAAGGAAACACACUGUGCUUGCACACCGUGUUUUCUUGAGUCGCGAACGGGUGAGUAACGCGUAGGUAACCUGCCUAUUAGCGGGGGAUAAUUAUUGGAAACAUAGCUAAUACCGCAUAAUAUUAAUUAUUGCAUGAUAAUUGAUUGAAAGAUGCAAGCGCAUCACUAGUAGAUGGACCUGCGUUGUAUUAGCUAGUGGUAAGGUAAGAGCUUACCAAGGCGACGAUACAUAGCCGACCUGAGAGGGUGAUCGGCCACACUGGGACUGAGACACGGCCCAGACUCCUACGGGAGGCAGCAGUAGGGAAUCUUCGGCAAUGGACGAAAGUCUGACCGAGCAACGCCGCGUGAGUGAAGAAGGUUUUCGGAUCGUAAAGCUCUGUUGUAAGUCAAGAACGUGUGUGAGAGUGGAAAGUUCACACAGUGACGGAGCUACCA